Molecule: ribosomal RNA, 483 nt
Filed under: uncultured bacterium
Lineage: Bacteria
Description: partial 16S ribosomal RNA
Rfam family: Bacterial small subunit ribosomal RNA
Source: RNAcentral
AUUGAACGCUGGCGGCAGGCCUAACACAUGCAAGUCGAGCGGAUGAAGGGAGCUUGCUCCUGGAUUCAGCGGCGGACGGGUGAGUAAUGCCUAGGAAUCUGCCUGGUAGUGGGGGAUAACGUCCGGAAACGGGCGCUAAUACCGCAUACGUCCUGAGGGAGAAAGUGGGGGAUCUUCGGACCUCACGCUAUCAGAUGAGCCUAGGUCGGAUUAGCUAGUUGGUGGGGUAAAGGCCUACCAAGGCGACGAUCCGUAACUGGUCUGAGAGGAUGAUCAGUCACACUGGAACUGAGACACGGUCCAGACUCCUACGGGAGGCAGCAGUGGGGAAUAUUGGACAAUGGGCGAAAGCCUGAUCCAGCUAUGCCGCGUGGGUGAAGAAGGUCUUCGGAUUGUAAAGCACUUUAAGUUGGGAGGAAGGGCAGUAAGUUAAUACCUUGCUGUUUUGACGUUACCAACAGAAUAAGCACCGGCUAACUUCGU